GGAGGAUAUAAUAUGAAUAAGAAGCUACAAACCAAAAGAAAUAGAGGAGCAAUGGGAAACAAGUGUAAACACAGUCAAAUCACACCCAAAACUUCUAAUUCAAUCCUCUUCUCGACUCCAUUAUUCACAAUACUUUUUUUUCUCAUUUUUCUGUAUUUUUUUUUCUUUUUUUUUCAUCUUGUCUCUUUUUUUUUCUCUCUUUUCAGAACACAACUCUAAUAGACAAGA
RNAcentral lists this long non-coding RNA (228 nucleotides) under Vigna radiata. Its description in RNAcentral is "long non-coding RNA (VRAD_LNC013166)". The record is from RNAcentral. Lineage: Eukaryota; Viridiplantae; Streptophyta; Magnoliopsida; Fabales; Fabaceae.